AAAUUUUGGACAAUGGGCGAAAGCCUGAUCCAGCAAUGCCGCGUGCAGGAUGAAGGCCUUCGGGUUGUAAACUGCUUUUGCACGGAACGAAAAGCUUUCGGUUAAUACCCUUGCGUCAUGACCGUACCGUAAGAAUAAGCACCCGCUAACUACGUGCCAACAGCCUCGGUAACACGUAGGGUGCAAGCGUUACACGGAAGUACUGGGCGUAAAUGGUGCGCAGGGGGUUUUGUAGGAAAGAGGUGAAAUGCCCGGGCUCAACCUGGGAAGUGCCUUUGUGACUGCAAGGCUAGAGUACGGAAGAGGGGGGUGGAAUUCCGCGUGUAGCAGUGAAAUGCGUAGAUAUGCGGAGGAACACCGAUGGCGAAGGCAACCCCCUGGGCCUGUACUGACGCUCAUGCACGAAAGCGUGGGGAGCAAACAG
This 424-nucleotide ribosomal RNA is filed under the name uncultured bacterium. RNAcentral's name for it is "partial 16S ribosomal RNA". It matches the Rfam family "Bacterial small subunit ribosomal RNA", at positions 359 to 775 of the family's 1533-position model. The record is from RNAcentral.